RNAcentral lists this unclassified non-coding RNA (275 nucleotides) under Hevea brasiliensis (rubber tree). Lineage: Eukaryota; Viridiplantae; Streptophyta; Magnoliopsida; Malpighiales; Euphorbiaceae. The record is from RNAcentral.
UAGAGAAAUUCAAGUUCAUAUGGUUACUCGGAGUAAAAUGGUGGUGGUGAUGAUGAUCAGAACUAAAUUGACCUAAAGGAGACAUGAAACGAAGAGGCGGAAUUUGAGGGGACAUAAGCCCUAACAAACUAGCUGCUGAUGUUGGACCCGAAAAACUGUUACUAUGAGAUGAAAUUGUAGUUGAAGAACCCGAGUUGUUAGUACCUUGACGACCAUCAGUACUAGUACUAGAAGCCGGAGAUUUAGAACUAUUAUUAUUGUUGUUGUUGUUGGUA